This 497-nucleotide ribosomal RNA is filed under the name uncultured bacterium. RNAcentral's name for it is "partial 16S ribosomal RNA". It matches the Rfam family "Bacterial small subunit ribosomal RNA", at positions 28 to 507 of the family's 1533-position model. The record is from RNAcentral.
GACGAACGCUGGCGGCGUGCCUAAUACAUGCAAGUUGAGCGCUGAAGGUUGGUACUUGUACCAACUGGAUGAGCAGCGAACGGGUGAGUAACGCGUGGGGAAUCUGCCUUUGAGCGGGGGACAACAUUUGGAAACGAAUGCUAAUACCGCAUAAAAACUUUAAACACAAGUUUUAAGUUUGAAAGAUGCAAUUGCAUCACUCAAAGAUGAUCCCGCGUUGUAUUAGCUAGUUGGUGAGGUAAAGGCUCACCAAGGCGAUGAUACAUAGCCGACCUGAGAGGGUGAUCGGCCACAUUGGGACUGAGACACGGCCCAAACUCCUACGGGAGGCAGCAGUAGGGAAUCUUCGGCAAUGGACGAAAGUCUGACCGAGCAACGCCGCGUGAGUGAAGAAGGUCUUCGGAUCGUAAAACUCUGUUGGUAGAGAAGAACGUUGGUGAGAGUGGAAAGCUCAUCAAGUGACGGUAACUACCCAGAAAGGGACGGCUAACUACGUG